Vidua chalybeata is the source of this 3076-nucleotide RNA transcript. It is a transcript of the gene named serine/threonine-protein kinase pim-1-like, with no coding region annotated. The record is from RefSeq and is a predicted model, not a curated record. The transcript has 7 exons. NCBI's taxonomy places the organism in Eukaryota, Metazoa, Chordata, Aves, Passeriformes, Viduidae.
GAAAGCAGCGAAAGAAGCAGUUUUGUCGAGUCCCUCUUGCAUCUCCUCUCCCUCUCUUGCUGUCCCGCACCCUCUCCCGCUCUCCCGUUCCCGCUGUCCCCUCGUCUCCCGGUCUCUCUCUCCCUAUGCCCGGCCGGGCCAUGCCCCCUUCCCGCCCCCGGCCCCAGGCGGGGCUGUCCCGUCCCCGGCCCCGGCCGUCCCGCCGCGGUCUCGCCUCCGCCCGGCUCUGGUCGUGCUGGCACUGGCGCUGCUGGGCGGGCAUCAGUGCCUGGGGCUCGGGAGGCAUCGCCUCCCUUUGGCUCCGCCUGGCCCGAGCCAGGCCCCGGCCCCGGCCCCGGCCCCGGCCCCGGCUCCUCCCGGGCCCCACGGAGGACACAGGCGGCGCGGCUGCUGCCGCCGCCUCCUCUGCGGCUUCCCCGGCCCGAGCUCCGCCGCUCGGCAGCGCGGCCGCCGGCCCCGAGCCGCCACUGUCCCGUUGCCAGGAGCGAACACCAGGGGAUGGCCGGCCCGCGGCGCUUGAGGGGCGCUCGGGGGCCGCUCCUGGCCCCGGGCUGAGCGCUGACAGCCGCGUCCCGCCCGCAGGGAAGGCGCAGGAGGCCCUGCAGGAGCGGGAGCGGCUGGGUUCGCUGCCGGGCCGUGGCGGCUUCGGCUGCGUCUUCGCGGCCACGCGGCUCUCGGACGGCGCCCCGGUGGCCAUCAAAAGGGUGCUGCGGGAUCGCAUCCGGCACUGGGGCGAGCUGCCCGACGGCACCAGCGCACCCCUGGAGAUCGUGCUGCUGGCCAGGGUGGCCUCUGGCUGCACUGCUGUCAUUCAGCUCCUGGAGUGGCUUGAGCUCCCCGACAGCGUCUUGCUGGUGCUGGAGCGUCCGGAGCAGUGCCAGGACCUGUCGGGUUUCCUGGCGGAGCGGAGGUUCCUGCUGGAGGAGGAGGUGCGGGGGCUGUUCCGCCAGGUGCUGGAGGCCGUGUGGCACUGCGCCAGCUGCGGGGUCCUGCACAGGGACAUCAAGCCCCAGAACAUCCUGCUCGACCUGGCCACCGGGCGGGUGAAACUGAUUGACUUUGGCUGUGGCGUCUUCCUCCAAGACACAGCCUACAUCCAGUUUGCAGGAACCCUGUCCUACAGCCCACCAGAGUGGAUCCACCACCAACGCUACCACGGCGAGGCAGCGACCAUCUGGUCCCUGGGCCUCCUGCUGUACCACCUGGUCAUGGGGAAGCACUCAUUCAGGAGGGGUCAGGAGAUCAUCUGGGGGCGGAUCUUGUUCCCACGACGGCUCUCUCAAGAGUGCCAGGAUGUCAUUAAGAGGUGUUUGUCCAUGCAGCCCUUGGACAGGCCAUCCUUAGAAGAGCUUUUCUGCGAUCCUUGGGUGCGGGGUGUUCCUCUGCCCUAGAGGAUGGGAGAGUUCCACGUGCAGUUGGAUCCAGGGGCCUGGCAGAAAGAGAAGGAGCCCCUGGAGAAGCUGUACUAGGUGGGGCUGCUGCUGCUGGAGACAGCAAGGACUCCAUCAAGGAUGACAACUUCUUCCUCGGCCUGGCCAACUGAAGAUGAUGGACUUGGAUUCUGCCACCUUCUCCAAAGCCAGGCUCCACAGGGAAUUUGCAUAUGAGUCCACACGCAAGGAGAUGCUCCCAGAUUUGGGCAUUGCACAGCCUGGCAGGGAACCAAAGGUUCUCCCUUUGCUGGGGCGGAUGCAGCUGAUCCUUCAGUCGGCUGCCCAGCUGCUUUUGGCAGGGCUGGGGGGAUGGGCUGGGAUGGGUACGAAAUGGGAGUGGGCUCCUGGCCCUGCCAACAGCCCCCGCCACCCACCGUGCCCUGGGCUGGGGCUGGGGCUGGGGCAGCCAGUCCAACACAAACCAACCCCCAUGGUGGGAGCAGAGGUGGGACUCCAGAACCUGUGCAGGGGCUGCUUUGCUUUGCAGGCAAGGAAGGGCUUGGGCUGCUCCCCUGCCCUUGUUUGCUUUGGGAUCACGGUUAUUUUGGGGGGCAGUGCAGGGGGAAAGGGAGAAAGCCUGGGCUUCCCUCACCUGUGGGUGGGCUUUUCCCUGGCAUGCAGGGGUUGGGCCUUCCUCAAGUCCCUGUCAGAGAUAUGAUUUUUCUUGUUUUCUUGUUUCCCCUUUUUGUAUGUAAUCUAUUGUCAAUCAUUUCUGUGUGUUUUUCUAGAGGAAGCGUUCUAGGUGGGGUCCAGUCUGGAUGGGGAAGUGCUUGGGAGCAGCUGCGGCGUGGAUGGGCCGUGCCCUUGGAGAAGGUUGAGGACAUCGUUUUGGACCAGCUUUUCUUCCAGCAGUGGAUGGCGUCAGCCGGGCUCUGUGGAUGCUGAGGCUGCUCUGGGCUCUGCCAGGGCUCUGCUGGCGCUCAGCACCGGGCCAGAAUCAGCCAAAGAAGAAAUGGUGUGACCUGCAGCACAGACUUGCUUGAGCAUUUCAGCAACACAGCUUAAGUUUGCAGAGUGUACACCUCCAAGGGAAAACAUGCCACUGAUUUAUUCAAGAAAUAUGGAUAUUGAUCUAGCACCAAUAUCCAACUGUGAUGGACAAAAACUCUCUAACAGUUUAAAGUUAGAAAGUGUAUGUUUAUUGCGACGCCAGGCAGCGUGCGGGAUAGCUCCCAAAUACACACCACACCUUUCAAAUUAUUACAGAGUCCUUUUAUCCACUCAAUAAUUGAAUACCCAAAAUACAAAUACAUAUUCAUCAUUUUGGUACAUCCCAUUCCUUGCUUCGGAUGCUAAUCAUUCCAAAAGCUAUUAAGCAUGCGUAGUUUGUUCCUUGAAAUGGGUUGGUGGUCCCUUUCAUGGGGAGGGGUCCCAAAAUGAGGAAGUAAAUGAAGUCUUCCUCAUUCUGACCUUUCUACCUUUUCAAUGAGAAUAUGACAAAUGAACCUUGGUAGAACUCCCAUUCCUUGUCUUCAAUUGGUUUCAGAACAGAGGAGGCCCACAAUUGUCUUAUGUUCCUAAAAGCUAUUUGUCAGUUUCUAUAUUCUUCAUUAUAAACCCAGCUAACUAAACAUUGUGUUGAGAAGCAAUCAAUUAUUAGUUAAUUACUAACCCUUAACUUCAUCAAGCCCCACCUUGGAGGC